This 468-nucleotide ribosomal RNA is filed under the name uncultured bacterium. RNAcentral's name for it is "partial 16S ribosomal RNA". It matches the Rfam family "Bacterial small subunit ribosomal RNA", at positions 28 to 507 of the family's 1533-position model. The record is from RNAcentral.
GACGAACGCUGGCGGCGUGCUUAACACAUGCAAGUCGAACGGAAAGGCCCUGCUUUUGUGGGGUGCUCGAGUGGCGAACGGGUGAGUAACGCGUGAGUAACCUGCCCUUGACUUUGGGAUAACUUCAGGAAACUGGGGCUAAUACCGGAUAGGAGCUCCUGCUGCAUGGUGGGGGUUGGAAAGGUUCGGCGGUUGGGGAUGGACUCGCGGCUUAUCAGCUUGUUGGUGGGGUAGUGGCUUACCAAGGCUUUGACGGGUAGCCGGCCUGAGAGGGUGACCGGCCACAUUGGGACUGAGAUGCGGCCCAGACUCCUACGGGAGGCAGCAGUGGGGAAUAUUGCACAAUGGGCGGAAGCCUGGUGCAGCAACGCCGCGUGCGGGAUGACGGCCUUCGGGUUGUAAACCGCUUUCGCCUGUGACGAAGCGUGAGUGACGGUAAUGGGUAAAGAAGCACCGGCUAACUACGUG